This 407-nucleotide ribosomal RNA is filed under the name Micronetinae sp. 1 LT-2015. Its description in RNAcentral is "partial 16S ribosomal RNA". It matches the Rfam family "Bacterial large subunit ribosomal RNA", at positions 1842 to 2580 of the family's 2925-position model. Lineage: Eukaryota; Metazoa; Arthropoda; Arachnida; Araneae; Linyphiidae. The record is from RNAcentral.
AUUAUUAUAAGUAAAAUCUGCUCAAUGAUAUUUCAAUAGCUGCAGAAUUUUAACUGUACUAAGGUAGCAUAAUCAUUUACCUUCUAAUUAAAGGUUUGCAUGAAUGAUUUUACAAUUAAAUUACUUUUUUAUUAAUACAAAUAAAAGUUAAAUUAAGAAUAAAAAUGUUCUUAUCUUCUUAAAAGACGACAAGACCCUAUUGAACUUAACUAAAGUUAAGCUGGGGAAGCUAAUUAAAUACUAUUUUAAUUUUCCUAAAAAAUACUUUCCUAAAAAAUUUAUAAAGAAAAGUUACCAUAGGGAUAACAGCGUAAUAAAUUUUUUAAGUUCUUAUUUAAAAAUGAGUUUACGACCUCGAUGUUGAAUUAAAAUUACUUUAAAACGCAGUAGUAUAAAAGUAGGUCUGU